This 527-nucleotide transfer RNA is filed under the name uncultured Prochlorococcus sp. RNAcentral's name for it is "partial 16S-23S ribosomal RNA intergenic spacer". The stretch from base 196 to 268 matches the Rfam family "tRNA". Lineage: Bacteria; Bacillati; Cyanobacteriota; Cyanophyceae; Synechococcales; Prochlorococcaceae. The record is from RNAcentral.
CAAAAUGUUUUGAUAUAAAUUUUGUCACCUUAGGUCGAUCGGUAUCUCAGAUUUUCAUAAUUGAAAAUUUCAGUUUCUAAGUUUUUUCUAGGUCACCCAUUUUUUCCUGGGCCAUUAGCUCAGGUGGUUAGAGCGCACCCCUGAUAAGGGUGAGGUCCCUGGUUCAAGUCCAGGAUGGCCCAUAUCUCUAUUAUUGGGGGUAUAGCUCAGUUGGUAGAGCGCCUGCUUUGCAAGCAGGAUGUCAGCGGUUCGAGUCCGCUUACCUCCACUGAAUACCACCUUUCCAAAGAGAAGGAAUAUUUGGGACUGAUCUUAUCUGAAUGAAUCUAGCUUCCUAUUAUUUAUCUCAAUUAAUAAGAUGCUGGACUCAAUGGAUUUUAAAAUUCUUUGUUUUCAGAGAACCUUGACAACUGCAUAGAUUUUUUUUUCAAGACAAUAAGCAUCUUUUAAGAUGCAGAUUUAUUAUUGGUGCUUAUGCAUUAAUAACAAUUCUAUUGAGCUGAUGCUUCAAUUUUUUUGAAGUUAUU